GUCAAAAGGCCACAUUCACCCUUGACCAGCCUUCAAUAGGUUGCGCACCAGUCGUAGAAGCACUGGUGGCAGAGCAUCUACUUUGCAUACAGAAGGUCCCAGAUCCAAUCUCUAUCAUCUCCAGGUAGGCCAAGGAGAGACUCCUGUCUGAAACAAUAUUGAACUAGAUGGGACCAGUGGUCUGACUUGGUAGAAGGAAGCAUUGUUAGAAUUCCUGAUCUAUGAUUGCAGUCAUAGGAUUGUUGUCUUUCACAUGACGGUAUAUGUUUUGACUCCACAGAGUGGGAAGUGAUGGAAACAGGAUGUUUGUGUUAUGUGUUCCGUGAAGUCCCAUUGGGGAUAACUUCUAAUUAGACAGGUUUAGGGUUGUACUGCUAGUUGGUUUCUGCAUUUUUUAUUUUUUAUUUUGCAACAGGGAGUUUGAUAUGAUUGAUGUGGUUUUGUCCUUGCCUUUGCUUUUCCUGUUUUGGUUUCGAUACUGUUUUUAAACUGUACGCUCUGCUAGCUGCUUUGAGUUAUUUUACAAAGAAAAGUGGGAAAAGAUCUUGUAAAAUAUUUAUUAUUAUAAGAAUGUUCUGAGAGCCACUCAUUAUUCUACCUUAUGAAAAGAGGUCCCAUGAUGAACCAAAGUGGAGCCAACCUCAAAUAAACAAUUUGGUGUUGGGGAGCUCUAGGCUGUAAGGACCCGUCACACCUUUUUGUAGGACAAGUGUACACAGGAAGGCAAUGCCCAUUCAGCAGCCACUAAGGCUAUUUUACCUGCUAUUUACACCUCAGGCUCCCAAAGCCAUUAACACAUUACCUAGCAGAUGCCAGCUUCAUUCUUAGUGCAUUCAAUUUAAUGGAACUGUGCACUGAAGUGCCAUUGUGGUUAUUUGUUUAACUGACAGGAGAUGGGGAUAUUGCUUGAGACAGCCUUAUAAGAAGCACUCUAAUUAAAUUAGUGGCAAGGGAGCAGCAGCACAGGUAGAUAGUCCUCAAAGCAGGGUGGGGGAAGACUGUCCUCUUUCACAGGUUCACAUGAAAAUGUUGCAUCACAUGGUCCUUUGAGCUGAUCCGGCGGGGCUACUUUCAUGUUCUUAUCUUCCAUUUAUGUAAGAGCAGCAUAUCCUAAUUGUCCUUGCUCCCACCCAAGUCUAAACCUCAAAGCAAAGAAGUAAACUCUAAUGGUACAAACUCGGUGCCUAGGAAAGUGCAGAAUGUAGUCCAGGUUCUCUUACAAGGCAACAAUAAAUGUGGUCCGAGAACAAGGCCAAGGUGCCUGAGUUCAGUAUUAGUAGCAAGAGUUCCAAGACUGCAUGAGAGCUGCAAAGCUGUCCCAACAAUUGCCCUACCUACCAGCCAAGCUUUUAAGCAGAGAGUCCCUGUCCCUGCAGGAAUUCCUUCUCUGAAGAUGCGCACUCUUCCUGAUGAUGGGAGUCUCUUUGCUUGGCAACACCUUUCCCUGGGAGACACCAGCAGGAGUGCUUCUGUCAGGUGUGCGUGCAGGAGCCAGGCCCUGUGACCAAUAGGAUUUGAGGGACUGGAGCCUUCCUAAGUUUGUUCUGAAGAGGCAAGGCGUGGCUUCACAGGUGAGGCCGAUUGGUAACUCACAGCACCUGGUGGCAAGAGCUGGGAAGGGAUAUAAGGUCAGCAUUUCCCUUCGGCUCUUUGCCCCAGCAACACGUUCCCUGCUCUGCUUUGCUUGGCUCCUUGACUCCUUGCUUCUUGAUCCUUGGACCCCUGACUUUGUGACUCCUUGCUUCUUGAUCCUCAGACCCCUGACUUCAUGACUUCCGGCUCUCUGACCCUCAGACUCUUGGCUUCCUGACUCCUGGCUUCUGGACUCCUGUUCCUGCUCCCACCCUGCCAUUUUGCCCCCGGUCCCGACAUCGCCAGCGGGGACUUCGAUCACCUGUGAACCGGACCGUGACAGCUUCCUUUUCUGAACUCUCCUACUCUUCCCCAGCUAGCUGGGCCCAUGAGUGUCCCUCACCCUCCACAGGCUGGGAAGGGGCACCUCCUGGGACUCCCAUCUCAUGUCUGGAGGUGUCUGGAGGCAGAAGGGGGCCUUAGCAAGAGGGCUCUGCAGCUUAGUCUUCCCUCCCCUUCCUACUACUAAUUGCCCUCAUCCUUAGGUGCCUCCCACACUGGGUCUGAAUCAGAAAGACCAGGGGGAAAGGGAACCAUGAUGCUAUUACAGGGUUACAGUACUGGGGGGAAAUUGUACCUGUGCAAUGUUGCCCCUCUUCAGAGAAGAAGCCCUGUUGUAAAAUAAAUGUGAUGAUCUUACUAUCAGCCACAAAAA
Non-coding RNA from Podarcis lilfordi (Lilford's wall lizard), 2287 nucleotides. The record is from the annotation of a GenBank genome assembly. NCBI's taxonomy places the organism in Eukaryota, Metazoa, Chordata, Lepidosauria, Squamata, Lacertidae.